This 386-nucleotide long non-coding RNA is filed under the name Sus scrofa (pig). RNAcentral describes it as "lncRNA (ENSSSCG00050071076.1)". Lineage: Eukaryota; Metazoa; Chordata; Mammalia; Artiodactyla; Suidae. The record is from RNAcentral.
GAGCAAAGCUGGGCCUGCCUAAGACGGGACCCCUGACCCUCCCACAUGAAAGCCACUGGCCCUCACGGGACCACCACCAGGGUGCUUCAUGGGGCGUUAGGCAGGCAGCGCCUGUUAACAGCUGCAGAGUCUCUGUCCGCCUCCUAACAUGUUCCCCACAUGCAGAAGAGCAGCUGCUCCAUCACCGAGGCCGGCGCGCACACAAAAGGAGAUGGAGGAUUUGUCUCUAGUCCUUGCCUGCUGUUCAGCGUGAAUGAACACUUACACUGGACAAAUGCUGUCCCCGAGGAUUCUGGACUCCAACAGAACCAGUGGGGGAGACUCCCACCUCCUUGGCAGCAGCCCAACUCGCCAGGAGUAAAACCCGUUUGGUUCUGACCGUUUAU